CCUACGGGCGGCUGCAGUGGGGAAUAUUGCACAAUGGGCGCAAGCCUGAUGCAGCCAUGCCGCGUGUGUGAAGAAGGCCUUCGGGUUGUAAAGCACUUUCAGCGGGGAGGGAGGCGGUGAGGUUAAUAACCUCAUCGAUUGACGUUACCCGCAGAAGAAGCACCGGCUAACUCCGUGCCAGCAGCCGCGGUAAUACGGAGGGUGCAAGCGUUAAUCGGAAUUACUGGGCGUAAAGCGCACGCAGGCGGUCUGUCAAGUCGGAUGUGAAAUCCCCGGGCUCAACCUGGGAACUGCAUUCGAAACUGGCAGGCUAGAGUCUUGUAGAGGGGGGUAGAAUUCCAGGUGUAGCGGUGAAAUGCGUAGAGAUCUGGAGGAAUACCGGUGGCGAAGGCGGCCCCCUGGACAAAGACUGACGCUCAGGUGCGAAAGCGUGGGGAGCAAACAGGAUUAGAUACCCCGGUAGUC
This 465-nucleotide ribosomal RNA is filed under the name uncultured Klebsiella sp. RNAcentral's name for it is "bacterial SSU rRNA". It matches the Rfam family "Bacterial small subunit ribosomal RNA", at positions 338 to 795 of the family's 1533-position model. The record is from RNAcentral. Lineage: Bacteria; Pseudomonadati; Pseudomonadota; Gammaproteobacteria; Enterobacterales; Enterobacteriaceae.